UAGCCUUUAGAAAUGAAGAAUAAUACCCCAUAGUAAGUAAUUUUCGCAUGGAAGAUACUUUAAAGUUUCGGCGGUAGAAGAUGAGUAUGCGUUCUAUUAGCUAGAUGGUAAGGUAACGGCUUACCAUGGCAACGAUAGAUAGGGGCCCUGAGAGGGGGAUCCCCCACACUGGUACUGAGACACGGACCAGACUCCUACGGGAGGCAGCAGUGAGGAAUAUUGGACAAUGGGCGCGAGCCUGAUCCAGCCAUGCCGCGUGCAGGAAGACUGCCCUAUGGGUUGUAAACUGCUUUUAUACAGGAAGAAACCACAGAACGUGUUCUGUGCUGACGGUACUGUAAGAAUAAGGAUCGGCUAACUCCGUGCCAGCAGCCGCGGUAAUACGGAGGAUCCAAGCGUUAUCCGGAAUCAUUGGGUUUAAAGGGUCCGUAGGUGGAUAAUUAAGUCAGAGGUGAAAUCCUGCAGCUCAACUGUAGAAUUGCCUUUGAAACUGGUUAUCUUGAAUUAUUGUGAAGUGGUUAGAAUAUGUAGUGUAGCGGUGAAAUGCAUAGAUAUUACAUAGAAUACCAAUUGCGAAGGCAGAUCACUAACAAUAUAUUGACACUGAUGGACGAAAGCGUGGGGGAGCGAACAGGAUUAGAUACCCUGGUAGUCCACGCCGUAAACGAUGGUC
RNAcentral lists this ribosomal RNA (673 nucleotides) under uncultured Flavobacteriales bacterium. RNAcentral's name for it is "bacterial SSU rRNA". It matches the Rfam family "Bacterial small subunit ribosomal RNA", at positions 144 to 814 of the family's 1533-position model. The record is from RNAcentral. Lineage: Bacteria; Pseudomonadati; Bacteroidota; Flavobacteriia; Flavobacteriales.